GUGUGUGAGCCUAGGCAGGGGUGCGGCUGCAAGCUCCAGGUCUGGCAUCCGCUCGUCUGUGCCUGAGAUGGGGAGUCUUGCCUUUGCGUACCAGGCUGAACCUCUGCCCAGGGGAGUAGCAACUGGAAGCUGUUGCCAACGUGGCCAGGUGGCAAAAGCAGUGAAGAAGGGCCCGGGUGAAGUGGAGGGGACACCGGACACACACACACCCCUUCAGCUGAGUAACCAACGCAGGGCCGGGGCCACCUCAGUUUCCCUCCCUGUAAAACAGGGCCGGGCAGGCUCCCCGCAAACCGAACUGCCUCUCCCAGCGGUCUGCAGCAAAUACCCGGGGGUUCGGCUCCGACUGGAGCGCGGGCUACGCGUCCACCGAGGCUCCAAGAAAGUGAAGGAGGAGGUCUCGUCCCGCCUCUCCCACGGCGGGGACGUGGAGCGCCGGAGCGACCGGAGAAGCACAAAGCCGAGCGGCGCUCGGGCUCUACCUGCGCGGUCCGGGCAGAAACGCAGGCUCCCACCCGCGUCCGGCGGGUAAAGUAACCCAGAUGGGGUCCUCGAUGCCGGCGCAGACCUCGGCGGAGGGUCGGGGCUGGGCCCGACCAGACCCGGGAGAGUGAGCGCGAAGCUCAGAGGCCGCCCCGCCUGCGCCGCCGACCCCGGAGCCUCCUAUGCCUGCCCGCGCGAGGGCCCGGCGGUCCCCAGCUUUGUUCGCCGCCCCGGCCCGGGGCGACUCCCUUCCCCCGACCUGACCCCGGCCCGCCCCGACCCGACGCCCGCGGCGCGCAGACCCACCCGGCGGACACCCAGCGCGGCCGCGGGGCCGGGAAGGCGGAGGAGCCGCGCGAGGUUCGGCAGCCGGGGCGGCGGCGGCGGCGGCGGGGCCGUCCCCGGGGGCGAGGGCCGGCGCUUACCUGCAUGUCCCGCCGCGUGUCAGGCCCGCGGGCUCCGGGCGCCGCUCGGCCCGGCCCGGCUCUUCCUGCGCCCGGCUGCGCUGGGUCGGCGGGCGAGGCGCGGCCCGCGGGGGCGCAGGGGGCGGCCGGCGGGGCCCGGGGCAGACCCUGCCCGCUCCUCUCAGCGCGCGGGCCGCUCGGGCCGCCGCCUCCGACUCUUCAUCCGCGGCCGGGGCGCGGGGCUGGCGGCGCGGGCGGGCGUGCUCGGCUCCCGGGGUCCCGCCGAGGCGUCUCGGGCCCCCCCCCCGAUGCUGGGGCAGCCUCCGAGGUGUCCACCGGAGCCCGGCCAGGCAGCCCCGGCGCUCGGAGUCUGCGCGCCCUCCUGCCGCCCGGAGGGCUCCCUGCUCCGCGCCGGGGACCCCCGAACUCAGCGGGCGGGGACGGUCGGGGGCGCGCAGCCUGCGGCCGAUCCGGAGGGAGGCCCUGGGCCCGAGGCGCGGGCUCGGGAGGCCGCCGUCGAUCUCGCCGGGCUGCGCGCCCUGCUCCGGAGCGCGGGACCCGGGGAAGUUUCGGCCCAAGUUGGCUGCGGGGCGGGUGGCGGCCGCGGCUCGGAGUGCAGGGCCCGGCGCUGGGCGAGUGGAUCCUGGGGGCGCCGCCGCCUCCGCCCCGCCUCCCGCGCCUCCUCCCCGCCCCCGACAGCCGCGCCGGCCCCGGCUCGCUCCUGCCCACCAGCCGGGCCGCGACACCCUCCCGAGGGCUCCUCCCAGGCGCUGGGACCGCGACCUCCGCACCUGCCUCCCGCCCGGCUCCCUCGGCCCCUAAGCAGAGCGGCCCGGGGGCCUCGCCGCGGGGGUGCGGACGGGGAGUCUCCGCCGCCCGGCCCCCUUCUCCCGGCGCCGCACGCCUGCUGCCCCCUUCUCCUGGAACUCGACCCGAUCCUCCGAAGAAACCGCGGCUCUUACCCCGGCCAGCAGCCCCCUCGGGGCGCCCAAGGAGCCCGUACCCGCGCCCCGCGAUCCUGGCACGAGCGCCCACCUCGGCGUCUGCGGGGCCCGAGGCUCUGAGAGGGGAAGAGAGUUAUGUCCUCCGCUUUCUUGCUACGCGUCCUCCUUUGAAUCCCCCAAGGAAGUAGAGUGACCCGGGAACUACUUUGCCGCUUCGCAAACCCAGGUCAUCCCCCUCGCAGUCCUGGGCCCUUCCCUACAGAGCCCAGCUCAGAAAGAUCCCUGGGUUUGGGAAAAAUGAGGCAGAAAGGUUUCAAGGAGCAAACGUGUUCUCUCAAUACUUUCGUCAUGGAUAUAGGACUAAAUAAUUCUCCUGAUGUUUUAUGGAGAAAAUGAGGCACAGGAAAGUCUGACGACCAACCCAUAGUCACUGCAGGGGCUAAUAGCUUGAGAAGGUCACUAGAGUCCAGGGCUCGGCCUUAGUUCAGAUCCAAGUUUAAAUGCUUUUCUGGAAGUCCCAUGUCCUUUUGUAGGUAACCUCAUAGCACCUCUGGGUGAGCUGCCCAAGAGGGUGUCCAAGGAGGUGAAGUGGGUGAGCUAAGGUCCCAGUGGAGGCAGGAGCUGCUGGUCCCUGCUCCAGACCCAGGUAACAGGGACCAACCGAGAGCAGCCAGUAGGAUCCCAGGCCUGCCCUCCAGCCCCUUUGCUUUUACAUUCUGAAAAACCCAGUCUCUUCCCUGAGGAGGAGGUCGCCCUGCUAAAGAAAUUGCCUUCGAAUGCAGUACAGUGAGGGGAGGGAAAAUACAAUAGUAAUAAUCAAAGGCUUUGCCUUUUUAAAAUUAGUAACCAAACAAGGUGACAGCCUCCCCCUUUCAGUGGGGGAAGGGGCAGCAGGGAGGGUCAGGGAAUGGAUGGGACCAGGAACCCACCACACUGGGCAGGCAAUAAGGAGCUAUUGUCCUCUGGAUUUUACAACAGGUAAGAGCUGUUGUAGCAAAUACCCCACUAAUUAGAGGGCAAGGUUUCCUUGGAACUGUGCUGGCUUGGGCCGGAGGUGCACCGUGACUUUUCUCACCUCAGGUGCACUGUGACUUUUCUCACCUCGGAGUGAAUGAAUGGGGUUUAUGAGACCAGGUCCAGCAACCAUAAAUGCAUGGCCUAUAAUUGUUGUGGGGAGCCUGCCUGCUGCUGGAGGGAAGCUAGUUCAAGGCUUUAUCUUGGGGACAGAUGAUAUGAGGAGAGUUGGCCUAAAGCAAGCAAAAAAGCUUUGAAUCCGCUUUGCCAAAUUUCAAGCAGGCUCAGUUUCUCUCUUCCUCAGAAUAAAACAUCAGUUCUAGUGUUAGGGUCUUUUUUUUUUUUUUUUUUUUUUGAGACAGAGUUUUGCUCUUGUUGACCAGGCCGGAGUGUGGUGGCACAAUCUCGUCUCACUGCAACCUCCUUCUCCCGGGUUCAACUGAUUCUCCUGCCUCAACCUCCCAAGCAGCUGGGAUUACAGGUGUGCGCCACCGUAGUAGAGACGGGGUUUCACCAUGUUGGCCAGGCUGAUCUCGAACUCCUGACCUCAAGCGAUUCACCUGCCUCGGCCUCCCAAAGUGCUGGGAUUACAGGCGUGAGCCACUGUGCCCGGCCAUGGAGUUAGGGUCUUCGUGGGAGGUCGGGGGGAAGUCUUGUUCCCCAGACCCUGAUUACUCCAGAAUGCAACAUGGGAGAAACUGAAGAUUCGCUUCAUUUGUUGAGCCCUAAACACCCAGAGAUGAAUGAGACCAGUUCCCACCUUCAGGAAGUUUACAGUCUGAAGAAUGAGGUGUGGAGAGGCCGACCUCUAAUUUGAAGCCUAGAAGAAGCAACAAGGGAUGACUUUGCUUGGCCCUGAGCUGACAGUCUAGGAUGAGAGCAAGUGACAGACGACAGCAACCCCAGCUGAAUGCUCUGUAAGUCCCCUACCCCCACCAUCUCUGUCCAAGAUGAGUCAAAACUUGUGGCACAGGGAGGGAAGCUGCAGUGCCCCCGGGAAAGGAGCUUGUGGCUGAGUAGCUGGGAAAACGUUUGAAUGAGGAGACAGCAGAGACGUGGGCCAGAUUCCCCAAGGGAAGUGGUAAGCACCCCAUAGCUUGAGUCACUGGACUGCUGGGGCAGCUACCUCCAGCUCUGAAGGCAGGCACUGAUGGGAAUGCAGACAAAUCUCACCCAUGUUUUGUCUGUGACUGUUGGGUGGGGUCUCUUGCCUUCUCUGCCAAACAAGGCAUAUUCCAAUUUGGCAUUUGUGAUUAAAAAGAAAGGACACAAGAAAGUAAGGAAGGAAAUA
Long non-coding RNA from Homo sapiens (human), 4136 nucleotides. RefSeq lists it as uncharacterized. The transcript is spliced from 2 exons. Lineage: Eukaryota; Metazoa; Chordata; Mammalia; Primates; Hominidae. The record is from RefSeq and is marked validated.